Rattus rattus (black rat) is the source of this 146-nucleotide small nucleolar RNA. The record is from RefSeq and is a predicted model, not a curated record. NCBI's taxonomy places the organism in Eukaryota, Metazoa, Chordata, Mammalia, Rodentia, Muridae.
CCUGCACAUUGUUAGAGCUUGGAGUCGAGGUCACAUGCUGGUCCAUGAACUCACAAGUGAACAUAGUGUGCUAAAAUGGCAAGGUUUUUGCUAACACCCCACUCUAGUCCAGUGAGUGGGGUUUGAUAGUAACCUUUGCUACAAGU